UACAGAGACUGCAAGCGUUAUUCGGAUUCACUGGGCGUAAAGGGUGCGCAGGCGGCCGAGUGUGUGAGGCGUGAAAGCCUGGGGCUUAACUCCAGAAUUGCACCUCAAACUACACGGCUAGAGCAUUGGAGAGGGUAGCAGAAUUCAUGGUGUAGCAGUGAAAUGCGUAGAUAUCAUGAGGAAUACCAGAGGCGAAGGCGGCUACCUGGACAAUUGCUGACGCUCAGGCACGAAAGCGUGGGGAGCAAAAGGG
Molecule: ribosomal RNA, 253 nt
Filed under: uncultured bacterium
Lineage: Bacteria
Description: partial 16S ribosomal RNA
Rfam family: Bacterial small subunit ribosomal RNA
Source: RNAcentral